This 75-nucleotide antisense RNA is filed under the name Actinacidiphila glaucinigra. RNAcentral describes it as "Streptomyces glauciniger ASpks TB sRNA". It matches the Rfam family "ASpks TB sRNA". The record is from Rfam by way of RNAcentral. Lineage: Bacteria; Bacillati; Actinomycetota; Actinomycetes; Kitasatosporales; Streptomycetaceae.
CUUGACGGACCCCAGGAACAGGGGCUGCUCGGGCAAGCGGUCCUGGCCGUAGGUGGCCAGCAGGGCCUGGGCCUC